This 400-nucleotide ribosomal RNA is filed under the name uncultured bacterium. RNAcentral's name for it is "bacterial SSU rRNA". It matches the Rfam family "Bacterial small subunit ribosomal RNA", at positions 355 to 746 of the family's 1533-position model. The record is from RNAcentral.
UGGGGAAUAUUGCGCAAUGGGCGAAAGCCUGACGCAGCGACGCCGCGUGAGGGAUGAAGGUUUUCGGAUCGUAAACCUCUGUCAGAAGGGAAGAAUAGGAUAUUGGCUAAUCACAGUAUCUGUGACGGUACCUUCAAAGGAAGCACCGGCUAACUCCGUGCCAGCAGCCGCGGUAAUACGGAGGGUGCAAGCGUUAAUCGGAAUCACUGGGCGUAAAGCGCGUGUAGGCUGUGAGGCAAGUUGGUGGUGAAAUCCCUACGGCUCAACCGAGGAACUGCCAUCAAAACUACUUGACUAGAGUGCGAGAGAGGACAGCGGAAUUCCAGGUGUAGGAGUGAAAUCCGUAGAUAUCUGGAAGAACAUCAGUGGCGAAGGCGGCUGUCUGGCUCGUAACUGACGC